This 274-nucleotide ribosomal RNA is filed under the name uncultured bacterium. RNAcentral describes it as "partial 16S ribosomal RNA". It matches the Rfam family "Bacterial small subunit ribosomal RNA", at positions 523 to 796 of the family's 1533-position model. The record is from RNAcentral.
CUACGGAGGGUCCGAGCGUUAUCCGGAAUCAUUGGGUUUAAAGGGUCCGUAGGCGGGAAUCUAAGUCAGUGGUGAAAUCUUGCAGCUCAACUGUAAAAUUGCCAUUGAUACUGGAUUUCUUGAAUUAGUGUGAAGUGAUUAGAAUGUGUAGUGUAGCGGUGAAAUGCAUAGAUAUUACACAGAAUACCAAUUGCGAAGGCAGAUCACUAACACUAUAUUGACGCUGAGGGACGAAAGCGUGGGGAGCGAACAGGAUUAGAAACCCCAGUAGUCC